GUUUCCUCCAAGUCAAUCUCAUGCUAAUGUUUUUCCAUUACAGCAUCGUAUUAACCAGAAGCUGCAUUUACCUGGACCAUACAUCAGCCCGAGCCUGUCUCCAGUGAAGAGUUGUGUCGUGCUGGAGGGACCAUUCAUCACACCUGCCCAGCUUCUGGAGGCUCUCCUGGGCUUUGGUGUCUUAGAUCUCUCAGCCUUUUGGAAAGGCUGCCUUGAAUUAUUCAACCUGCAGUACAGAUCUCUGGAGAACAUAGCCUCACAGCUACUUUAAUCACUAGAAAGGUUCGGAGUCAGUUAUAAUCAGCUGGAGUCAAUGUGGAAAUGCUCAUCUCUGGCUUGAAAAUAAGAUCAAAAGGAAGACCAAGGAGGAGAUAAAAUCUGAGAUGAGAAAUGGAUGUUGGUUUCCAGAAGUUCUUAGGUCUUUCUCCUAUUUCCAAAGGGGGUCACAGAUCUGAAGCCCCAGCCCCUGGGAACUCUGCUUCCCUUGAGGCACACUACUGUGGAUUUCUCUGACCUUUUCUUAUGACAUUGGGAAGCCAGUCACACCUCUGCCAAUUCAGGGACAAGUUGAGUGAGACGGGACCUCUCUCUGAUGGAGGUUUGGUGGACAGCUGUUAUCUUCUAAGCUUGUGUUAGAGCUGGGCAAAGAGGAAGCUGCUCAGGAUUGGAAGGUGGGAGAGAAGCAUCAGCCAUCACUCUCUGAGGUCGCCACAGUCAGAUGGAGUGACAGAUGAAGAGAUGCCUGGUGGGUCCCAGCUUGUCCUCGUUCUUCUCCCUUUGCCUCCAGCUCUUCUCCCUGGCUACCUACCCUGUUGGCCAAUGGCGGCUCAUGCUCAUCACCAGGCAUGUGGCUGCAGACACACGGAGGUGGGAGCCAUGCAGAGGCACCGGCUCUUCACAACCCUCUCUGCCAGCACCCGUUUCAGGGUCCUCCUUUGAUGUUGGGUGUGCUUGGCUUCUCCAAGUGACAGGUUAGUGCCUCCCCUGGGCCUCCAUCUGAUCUUCUGGACCUUUGCUUCCGCAGCUUCCCUCAAUUAUGCAAAUUCUAGGUCUGAUUCCUAGAAUAAAUACUGGAUCUCAAAGCACUCACAGGAUUCUGCUCCCCUGGCUGAACUCUGGUGGAAAUGAUGUCAUGUGACUUCGAAACUAGGCCUUAAGAGUCCUUGCAGUUUUCCCUGUCCUGAGGCCACAUCAUGCUGUGAAAAAACCCAACUUAGCAGAGGCUGAGAAGUUACACGGAGGAGAAUGGAAGAGCCCUGGUCAAUACACACAACUGUGAAAAAAAUAACUCACUGUAGACAUUUUUUUUAGGCUGAGAAAAUAUUUUUCUAUUAAUUGGUUGAUCUGUCAUUAUAUUCCAUUGCAUAGUCAGUGAUAAUAUACUAAGUAAAGUUUAGUGUAACCAUAUUAGAAUAAUCUAAAUUUGAAGAUAUUUAUUAGCUUUAUUAACUUAUACAAAAUAAAAUUCACUGCUUUUUUAUCGUGGUAAAA
Long non-coding RNA from Homo sapiens (human), 1491 nucleotides. RefSeq lists it as uncharacterized. Lineage: Eukaryota; Metazoa; Chordata; Mammalia; Primates; Hominidae. The record is from RefSeq and is a predicted model, not a curated record. The transcript is spliced from 3 exons.